CUGCUCCAGCUAGUCCCCACCGACUGGCAGUGCGUUGCCCCGGAAAGAGAAGGGAUUCCCGGGGUUUCCGAGGCGCCCUGCUCCCUUGCCUGGGGGUCGCCUUUCGUCCAUUUUGCUCCCCCGGGAGAGGGAUCGGAUUUUGCUUUCUCAGCCGCGAGCUCCGCGGGGGCAGCUUCCGGCCGCCCCUACCGGGAAAUUCCCGCCGUUGCCAUGGCACCCGGCACUUGUUGCGGGGGGCGGCCUCCCGCGGCACCCGGCCCGGGGUGCUCAGCAUCCCCUUCGGUUUGGCGCGGAAGAGGGGACCUCGCGGUUCUCCAGCCCACGCCUCCCGCCCAGCCAGGCCUUCCCUUGGCUCUAAAUAGGGGGCCUGAGUCCUGACCAGGUUUAAAAACCCGCUCCAGGGGUAGCUUUUAAGAGGACUUUUUCGUUUCAGAUUUCAGAUACUCGGACUCCACCUUUACUUUCACCUACGUUGGCGGCCCCAAAAGUGCUCCUGGCAACACCUCGGAUUCUUGGAUUCCUAGAAUAACCUCACAGCCGUCAGUGGAUCGGGACCUGCCUUGGGCACCUUCUCCGGGCUGCCUCCAGGUUCAGGGGUGUGCCAGCAUCUGGCCUCAAACUGUAGACAGUUUGGAAGUUUAUGCGAACGUCAUUCCUUCCUCGUAUUUGUCGUGCUUCUGAUCUCCUGCCUCCUCCUUUCUCCCUUAGUGACGGACAGUAAAAUCCUUAAGAUCACAAAGGUUUGGGGUUCUUCUGGUCCUUUGUCUCACUUGCCGUUCGUCAUGCAGGUAAUGGUAGAAGACACAGAAAGGAGGAAGUGGGUAGUGAUGGCUACUAGAGAUGGGAGCCCCUUGGGGGACUCCCUGACUGUGAGCGUCCAGCAAGGAAAGGAUUGUGAGAGUACAAUACACAAAUAGGGUUUAUAGUAAACAAAGAUUUUUGAAAAGAAGAGAUAAGCCAAAAGAAUAAAAAAAGGUACCCAAUUUUUCCACCUUCUAUUAAAGUAUUAGAAUUUAUCCUUUCAGAAAUUUUUCUGUGUCUGUAUUCAUAUAAAAUAUAUGCAUCCAGAUUGUUAUUAUACUCUUUGGAGACCUCACUGUAUUUUUCCCCCAAGAAUGUAACAAUGUCUUCCUUUUAGAAAGGAUAUGAGAAUAAAGAAAUGUUUAUUAAACUGAGAA
This is a long non-coding RNA of Suricata suricatta (meerkat), 1178 nucleotides long. RefSeq lists it as uncharacterized. The transcript is spliced from 2 exons. The record is from RefSeq and is a predicted model, not a curated record. NCBI's taxonomy places the organism in Eukaryota, Metazoa, Chordata, Mammalia, Carnivora, Herpestidae.